This 497-nucleotide ribosomal RNA is filed under the name uncultured bacterium. RNAcentral's name for it is "partial 16S ribosomal RNA". It matches the Rfam family "Bacterial small subunit ribosomal RNA", at positions 28 to 507 of the family's 1533-position model. The record is from RNAcentral.
GAUGAACGCUGGCGGCGUGCCUAAUACAUGCAAGUCGAGCGAACAGACGAGGAGCUUGCUCCUCUGACGUUAGCGGCGGACGGGUGAGUAACACGUGGAUAACCUACCUAUAAGACUGGGAUAACUUCGGGAAACCGGAGCUAAUACCGGAUAAUAUAUUGAACCGCAUGGUUCAAUAGUGAAAGACGGUUUUGCUGUCACUUAUAGAUGGAUCCGCUCCGCAUUAGCUAUUUGGUAAGGUAACGGCUUACCAAGGCAACGAUGCGAAGCCGACCUGACAGCGUGAAUGACCACACGGGAACUGAGAAACGGCCGAGACACCUGAGGGGGGCAGCGGUCGGGAAUCUUCCGGAAGGGGGGAAAGCCUAACGGAGCAACGCGGCGGGAGUGAUGAAGGUCUUCGGAUGGUAAAACUCUGAUAGUAGGGAAGACGAAAUGUGUAAGUAACUAUGCACAUCUUGACGGUACCUAAUCAGAAAGCAACGGCUAACUACGUG